AACGCACGAGACCUGCGGACCUGCGGAGGGAUCAUUAACGCGCCGUGGAGGUUGCCUUUAAACAGGUCUGACCUUCCACCUGGCCACCCUUGUUUAUCUUUAACCUGUUGCUUUGGUGGGCCCGUUGCAAGGCCGCUGGAGAAUUUAAAAGUUUUCUGGCCCGUGCCCACCAAGUCCUAGUGAACUCUUUGUUAAUUUUCUGCUGUCUGAGCAUUAAAAGAAACAAUUUUUAAAACUUUU
Molecule: unclassified non-coding RNA, 240 nt
Filed under: soil metagenome
Description: partial contains 5.8S ribosomal RNA, internal transcribed spacer 2, and large subunit ribosomal RNA
Source: RNAcentral